AGCAGGGUGGCGCAGCGGAAGCGCGCAGGGCUCAUAUUUCUGACACCCUGAGGUCACUAGAUCAAGACUAGUUCCUGCUA
RNAcentral lists this transfer RNA (80 nucleotides) under Calocera viscosa TUFC12733. RNAcentral's name for it is "tRNA-Met". It matches the Rfam family "tRNA". From Rfam's summary of the family: Transfer RNA (tRNA) molecules are approximately 80 nucleotides in length. Their secondary structure includes four short double-helical elements and three loops (D, anti-codon, and T loops). Further hydrogen bonds mediate the characteristic L-shaped molecular structure. tRNAs have two regions of fundamental functional importance: the anti-codon, which is responsible for specific mRNA codon recognition, and the 3' end, to which the tRNAs corresponding amino acid is attached (by aminoacyl-tRNA synthetases). tRNAs cope with the degeneracy of the genetic code in two manners: having more than one tRNA (with a specific anti-codon) for a particular amino acid; and 'wobble' base-pairing, i.e. permitting non-standard base-pairing at the 3rd anti-codon position. The record is from RNAcentral. Lineage: Eukaryota; Fungi; Basidiomycota; Dacrymycetes; Dacrymycetales; Dacrymycetaceae.